AACUUUCAACAACGGAUCUCUUGGUUCUGGCAUCGAUGAAGAACGCAGCGAAAUGCGAUAAGUAAUGUGAAUUGCAGAAUUCAGUGAAUCAUCGAAUCUUUGAACGCACAUUGCGCCCUCUGGUAUUCCAGAGGGCAUGCCUGUUCGAGCGUCAU
RNAcentral lists this ribosomal RNA (155 nucleotides) under leaf litter ascomycete strain its178. RNAcentral describes it as "5.8S ribosomal RNA". It matches the Rfam family "5.8S ribosomal RNA". From Rfam's summary of the family: 5.8S ribosomal RNA (5.8S rRNA) is a component of the large subunit of the eukaryotic ribosome. It is transcribed by RNA polymerase I as part of the 45S precursor that also contains 18S and 28S rRNA. Lineage: Eukaryota; Fungi; Ascomycota. RNAcentral also lists the same sequence under 2 other names. The record is from RNAcentral.